Non-coding RNA from Pelobates cultripes (western spadefoot toad), 232 nucleotides. The record is from the annotation of a GenBank genome assembly. Lineage: Eukaryota; Metazoa; Chordata; Amphibia; Anura; Pelobatidae.
GCUCGUUCACGCUGGAUCUAUUCGCCUCCAGGAUGAACUAUCAGAUCCAGACUUACUUCAGCUGGCUCCCGGACCCAGCGUGCUCGGCAGUAGACGCCUUUCUCCAAGUGUGGCCUUCACAGGGAGCGUAUGCUUUUCCUCCAUUUGCUAUGAUGGUAUUGCUGCAAGUUCGAUGUCAGCGUUUGUCUUUGGUGUUGCUGACUCCUCUAUGGCAGAGUCAAGCCUGGGAUCC